UUAAACGAAGAGGUCUGGAAAGGCCCGCCAAAGAAGGUAACAGCCCUGUAAUUGAAAGUCUGUUCUCUCCGAGACGGAUCCCGAGUAGUGCGGGGCACGUGAAACCCCGUAUGAAUCCGGCAGGACCAUCUGCCAAGGCUAAAUACUCCCUAGCGACCGAUAGUGAAGCAGUACCGUGAGGGAAAGGUGAA
This 191-nucleotide ribosomal RNA is filed under the name Aurantiochytrium limacinum. Its description in RNAcentral is "partial Bacterial large subunit ribosomal RNA". It matches the Rfam family "Bacterial large subunit ribosomal RNA", at positions 329 to 518 of the family's 2925-position model. The record is from RNAcentral. Lineage: Eukaryota; Bigyra; Thraustochytrida; Thraustochytriidae.